GGGGAAUAUUGGACAAUGGGGGCAACCCUGAUCCAGCAAUGCCGCGUGAGUGAAGAAGGCCCUCGGGUUGUAAAGCUCUUUUGUCCGGAAAGAAAAGCGCCGGGUUAAUACCCUGGUGUCCUGACGGUACCGGAAGAGUAAGCACCGGCUAACUUCGUGCCAGCAGCCGCGGUAAUACGAAGGGUGCAAGCGUUACUCGGAAUUACUGGGCGUAAAGCGUGCGUAGGUGGUUCGUUAAGUCCGAUGUGAAAGCCCUGGGCUCAACCUGGGAAUGGCAUUGGAUACUGGCGGGCUAGAGUGCGGUAGAGGGUAGUGGAAUUCCCGGUGUAGCAGUGAAAUGCGUAGAGAUCGGGAGGAACAUCCGUGGCGAAGGCGACUACCUGGACCAGCACUGACACUGAGGCACGAAAGCGUGGGGAGCAAAC
This 425-nucleotide ribosomal RNA is filed under the name uncultured bacterium. RNAcentral's name for it is "bacterial SSU rRNA". It matches the Rfam family "Bacterial small subunit ribosomal RNA", at positions 356 to 773 of the family's 1533-position model. The record is from RNAcentral.